Molecule: unclassified non-coding RNA, 337 nt
Filed under: soil metagenome
Description: partial contains 5.8S ribosomal RNA, internal transcribed spacer 2, and large subunit ribosomal RNA
Rfam family: 5.8S ribosomal RNA (bases 1-120)
Source: RNAcentral
GAUGAAGAACGCAGCGAAAUGCGAUAAGUAGUGUGAAUUGCAGAAUUCAGUGAAUCAUCGAAUCUUUGAACGCACAUUGCGCCCCUUGGUAUUCCAUGGGGCAUGCCUGUUCGAGCGUCAUUUGUACCUUCAAGCUCUGCUUGGUGUUGGGUGUUUGUCUCGCCUCUGCGUGUAGACUCGCCUCAAAAUAAUUGGCAGCCGGCGUAUUGAUUUCGGAGCGCAGUACAUCUCGCGCUUUGCACUCAUAACGACGACGUCCAAAAGUACAUUUUUACACUCUUGACCUCGGAUCAGGUAGGGAUACCCACUGAACUUAAGCAUAUCAAUAAGCGGAGGA